CUAAGUGCGAUGAUGAGGAAGAGUAAUCACAGGCUAGCUGACAGAGAAGGGAAGCCAGUGGCUGAAAGCUUCCCCCAGAGGAGCGGUGAUGAAAACCACCUCGGAGCUGCCCGCUGAAAGUGGAGUAAGCGUGGCCGGGGCACCGUUAUCUGCAUUGAGUGGGCUGCUUAGGCAGCCAAUUUGGGUGGAACCACGGCAACCUCGUCCCAAGA
Molecule: non-coding RNA, 212 nt
Filed under: Peptococcaceae bacterium
Lineage: Bacteria; Bacillati; Bacillota; Clostridia; Eubacteriales; Peptococcaceae
Description: T-box sequence
Rfam family: T-box leader
About the family: Uncharged tRNA acts as the effector for transcription antitermination of genes in the T-box leader family. T-boxes are found upstream of many aminoacyl-tRNA synthetase genes and some amino acid biosynthetic genes usually in Gram-positive bacteria.
Source: RNAcentral